AUUGAACGCUGGCGGCAUGCCUUACACAUGCAAGUCGAACGGCAGCAUGAUCUAGCUUGCUAGAUUGAUGGCGAGUGGCGAACGGGUGAGUAAUACAUCGGAACGAGCCCUGUAGUGGGGGAUAACUAGUCGAAAGAUUAGCUAAUACCGCAUACGACCUGAGGGUGAAAGUGGGGGACCGCAAGGCCUCAUGCUAUAGGAGCGGCCGAUGUCUGAUUAGCUAGUUGGUGAGGUAAAGGCUCACCAAGGCGACGAUCAGUAGCUGGUCUGAGAGGACGAUCAGCCACACUGGGACUGAGACACGGCCCAGACUCCUACGGGAGGCAGCAGUGGGGAAUUUUGGACAAUGGGCGAAAGCCUGAUCCAGCAAUGCCGCGUGUGUGAAGAAGGCCUUCGGGUUGUAAAGCACUUUUGUCCGGAAAGAAAUGGCUCUGGUUAAUACCUGGGGUCGAUGACGGUACCGGAAGAAUAAGGACCGGCUAACUACGU
This 489-nucleotide ribosomal RNA is filed under the name uncultured bacterium. RNAcentral's name for it is "partial 16S ribosomal RNA". It matches the Rfam family "Bacterial small subunit ribosomal RNA", at positions 30 to 506 of the family's 1533-position model. The record is from RNAcentral.